Molecule: ribosomal RNA, 462 nt
Filed under: uncultured bacterium
Lineage: Bacteria
Description: partial 16S ribosomal RNA
Rfam family: Bacterial small subunit ribosomal RNA
Source: RNAcentral
GACGAACGCUGGCGGCGUGCUUAACACAUGCCAGUCGAGCGGAAAGGCCCUUCGGGGUCCUCGAGCGGCGAACGGGUGAGUAACACGUGAGUAACCUGCCCCAGACUUUGGGAUAACCCCCGGAAACGGGGGCUAAUACCGGAUACGACACAGCUUCGCAUGGGGUCUGUGUGGAAAGUUUUUCGGUUUGGGAUGGGCUCGCGGCCUAUCAGCUUGUUGGUGGGGUGAUGGCCUACCAAGGCGACGACGGGUAGCCGGCCUGAGAGGGCGACCGGCCACACUGGGACUGAGACACGGCCCAGACUCCUACGGGAGGCAGCAGUGGGGAAUAUUGCACAAUGGGCGGAAGCCUGAUGCAGCGACGCCGCGUGAGGGAUGACGGCCUUCGGGUUGUAAACCUCUUUCAGCAGGGACGAAGCGUAAGUGACGGUACCUGCAGAAGAAGCGCCGGCCAACUACGUG